UGGAGGCUCAGAUGCAGCAGGCCGGAAGGUGUAACUGUGGCAGAGGGAGGGGGAGUGCCAGCACCUGGGGAGGUGGAGUUGAGAAGGCUGGUAUGAACACAGAGACAUGGGAUCAUGGGCUGUGAUGAAGGGAGACUAGGUAUUUCAAAGUGUGAGGAAGAGGAUUCAAAAUCCAUGCUGAGCUCCCUGAGUUUGAAGAACAGGGUCCCUGAGGUUUCAUUGUAGGAUCAUAGAAGAUAUGAGUAUAAACAUUGCAGUGGAUAUAUUGUUUAAAAAAUGCUUCUGGUUAGGACUUGGUCAAAAGUGAAAUAAUUAGAAUGCUGGAAGUUUAAGUUGGCAGAAAGAUUAUGAAUUGCUCAUCUAUCACCCAGCUGUUCAUUGUUUGUAGAAGAGAAGUUUUCAGUGUAAUAGAAUCUACUGAAGAUUCCCAAAUUUCUUUAGUGAGUGACAGGUUUAGAGAAAAUGAACAUAUUUUUGUCUUAUUUAUCAUCAAAUUUAAUAUAAAAUAGGACCAUGAAUUUAUUUUCAUGCUCCUGAUUACUUCUUUUCAGUUGGAUAAAAUCAGGCCAAGAGCAUACUUUCAUAAUUUAUUAUUCUAAAUUUUCUUUUGUUGUAUAAAUUUAUGUUAUUUAAUAACAUGUUUAGCAUUAUAUACAAAGAGAAAAAUAAGUGAUAUAGGUAACAUUUUAACAUAUGCAUCAGAAAGUAUGUUGUGUAUUCACAAUGGUGUAUUAGUAUCCAUCCAUAGACAAAGGUGGGAUCCUGUCAUGUCCAGCAAAAUAGAUGGAACUGAAUAAUGUAAUGCUAAGUGACAAAAGACAAACCCAGAAAGAGAUAUCACUUGCUGUCUAUUAGACAUGGCAGAUGGAAUAAAACUGAUGUAAAAGUAGAGUUUUCACUCUGUCUGAGAAUGGUUCUGGGGCAUCAAGAGUGGAAGAAGGGUUGUUGGACAUGAUCAGUACAUGUGCAUGCUUAUAUGAAAAUAUCACAUCAAAUCUUAUUAAUACAUACAGUGGAUGUGUGUUAAGAAAAUUCAUCAUUUCCCAUAAUUACUUCAUUCUGUAAUAGGAAAAUCUAAACUUUUACUAUCUUUGGAAUAUCUAGUAUAUUGGACACUAUUAUUAAGGAUUGUUCUGUAGUAACCACACAUUCUCUGUGCAUUCAAAAUUUCCCCCAGAUUCCACACAUAGAGUAUGCAAAAUAUUUCUCUCUGUGUCUGGAUCAUUUCACUUACCAUGAUGUUCUCCAGCUUCAUCUAUGUUAUUUUAAAUGGCAGCAUAAUCUUUCCUUUUGUUAGUGGGGUUUGAACCUAGGGUUUCCUUGCCCCUGAGAUGUAUCCACAGUCUUUUUGUUGUUAUUGUUGUUGUAGUUACUGGGGAUAGAAAUCAACUUCUGAGCCACAUCCCCAGCCCUAUUUUGUAUUUUAUCUAUAGACAGGUUCUCACUGAGUUGUUUAGCACCUCACUUUUGCUGAGCUUCGCUUUGAACUCAUGAUCCUCAUGCCUCAGCCUCCUAAGUUGCUAGGAUUACAGGUGGGUGCCACUGUACCUGGCCCCAGUCAAUUUUAAUUUUUACUUUUAAGAUAGCACUUGGCUAAAUUCAUGAGGCUUAACUUGAACUUUUACCACUGCUUCCACCUAUAGAAUCCUUCUCUAUAAAAGUUAAAAAAUAAGUCAGGUGUGGUGGCACAAGCCUGUAACCCAAGGUACUCAACAGGCUGAGGAAGGAGGAUCACAAAUUUGAAGCCAUUCUCAGCAUCAUAGUGAGACUCUCUGCAUCUUUAAAAGACCCUGCCUUAAAAUGAUCUUAAAAAACUAAAAAUUGUAUAUAUGUAUGCAUGAUACCCUGGAGAAUACAGGAAUAUUCUGGUAUAGGUUUUGUAAGGAGGUCAUGGAUUGGGGCAUUAGGAUUGUCUUCCCCCAACACUAGUUUUAGUUCUUUGGAGAUGCAUUGUUGGUCAGCCACUUAGCUUCUCAUAUUGAAAAGGAAGGCAGAGUUUCUCCUUGUUCUUGGGUUUUCAGAGUUGGGAAAGGAGAUAAAACAAUUCUAAGGAAGUCAAAAGAUUAUCCCAGAGAAUUUUCCAGGUGCUCAGACAGGAGGGCCCAGCACAGUGCCUCAUGGUGGGAAGAUCAUUCAAUACUUAGGUAAGCAGAAUAAUUGUGGAAGAAUUUCCCAUUUGAUAGGAUGACUUGACCCUGAGCCAGACACAUUUUAGUUCCAGGCAGCAGUGCCUAUCUCUGGGUUUUUCAAGGCUCAGCUUUAAAUAUCUGUUGUUGCUUGACUGCGGAGUAUCCAGCUAUCCACAGGCCAUUGUCCAUGAACUAGCUUUUAUUAGUGAAGAGGCCCAGUCUGGCUCAAUGAUAGGCUCCUGAAGCAAAUCCCACUUGUUGAAGAGUCCCCAAGCUCUCUGAGCAGUCAUACUGUGUUGGCCCAUGACCUUCUGCUGGCACAGAUUGCUUGACUUAAAGUGGGCAUUGUUCUCUUGAGGCUGACAUUUGGAGUGUUUAAUAGGAUGGCCUGGAGUCUUUCUACCCUCCCAGCAGCCCGCGGAUACACAUCUUUCUGUUUGAGCAACAUGAGGACUCAACACACAAGAGUAGUGGGUUUUCUUAGAGUGGGUUUCUCAACCUCUUGAAGUAAAUCGCAGGUGGCCAUCAUGCCACGAAAGCAGAGGACAGUUCUUUUACUGUGUUCAAGUUGUUUUCACAGAUAGGAUACUGGUUGCAGUGUCACCAGUGUCCAUAGGAGAACUCUAAAGGCUGUAUUUUCUUUCUUGUUCAUAUAUAGUCUUUUUGUAAAAAAUUAUUCUAACUAGUUAUACAUGACAGCAGAAUGUGUUUUGAUUCAUUGUACAUAAGUGGAGCACAAAUUUUCAUUUCUCUGGUUGUACAUGAGUCACUCCAUAUGUGCAGUUAUACAUGUACCUAGGUUAAUGAUGUCCAUCUCAUUCUGCCAUCUUUCCUAUCCCCAUGCCCACUCUCCUCAUCUCCCUUCCAUUUGUACAGUUUCUCCAUUCUUCCCCCCUACACCCCCAUAUGGAUCAGCAUCCACUUAUCAGAAAGAACAUUUGGUAUUUGGGUUUUUGGGAUUGGCUUACUUCUCUUAGCAUGAUAGUUUUCAGUCCAUCCAUUUUACCUGCACAUGCCAUAAUUUUAUCUCUUAAUGCUGAGUAAUAUUCCAUUGUACAUAUAAUACUACAGAUUAUUUACCUGCUUGUCUAUUGAAGGACAUCUAGGUUGGCUCCACAGUUUAGAUAUUGUGAAUUGAGCUGCUAUGAACAUUGAUGUGACUGCCUCACUAUAGUAUGCUUAUUUUAAAUUCUUUGUGUAUAGACUGAGGAGUGGGAUAGCUGAAUCAAGUGGUGGUUUCAUUCCAAGUUUUCUAAGGAAUCUCCACACUACUUUCCAUACUGGGUACACCAAUUUGCAGUGCCACCAGCAAUGUAUGAGGGUACCUUUUUUCCCACAUCCUCACCAACAUUUAUUAUAAUGGCAUAAUGUAUAAUGCCAUUCUGACUGGAGGAAUGAAAUAAAAUCUUAUAGUAGUUUUGAUUUGCAUUUUUCUAAUUACUAGAGAAGUUGAACAUUUUUAAAAAUAUAUUUGUUGAUCAAGUAUAUAUCUUCUUCUGAGAAGUGGUCUGUUCAGAUCUAUAGUCCAUUCAUUGAUUGGGAUAUAUAUAUAGAUAGAUAGAUAUAUAGAUAUAUAAUGUUUAUAAUUUAUAUAUGUGUGUGUGUGUUAAGGUUUUUGAGUUCUUUUAAUAGCCUGCAAAUUAGUGCUAUAUCUGAUGUCCUUGUAGUAAAGAUUUUUCUCCCACUCUGUGGGCUCUUUCUUCAUGUUAUUGUUUCAUUUGCUAAGAAGAAGAUUUUUAGUUUGAAUCUAUCUCAUUUAUUAAUUAUACAUUUCUUGUGCUUUAGGAGUCUGGUUAAGAAGUCAGGAAUUAAUAUGAGUUGGUGAAGAUUUGAGCCUACUUUUUCUUCUAUUAGGUGCAGGGACUCUGGUCUAAUUUUUAGGUUCUUGAUCCACUUUGAGUUGAGUUUUGUGCAUGGUAAGAGAUAGUGUUUUAAUUUCAUUUUGCUACAUAAAAUACUUGGGAAUCAAUCUAACAAAAGAGAUGAAAGACCUAUACAAUGAAAACUACAGAACACUAAAGAAAGACAUUAAAAAAGACCUUAGAAGAUGGAAAGAUCUUCCAUGUUUGUUUUUUUUUUUUUUUAGAAUUUUAAUGUUUAUUUAUUUUAGUUCUCGGCGGACACAACAUCUUUGUUUGUAUGUGGUGCUGAGGAUCGAACCUGGGCCGCAUGCAUGCGAGGCGAGCGCACUACUGCUUGAGCCACAUCCCCAGCCCUCUUCCAUGUUUUUGGAUAGGAAGAAUUAAUAUUGUCAAAAUGGUCAUACCAUCAAAUGCAUUAUACAGAUUUAAUGCAAUUCUGAUUAGAAUCCCAACAACAUUCCUCAUAGAAAUAGAAAAGGCAAUCAUGAAAUUUAUUUGGAAAAAUAAGGGACCCAGAAUAGCCAAAGCAAGAAGAGUGAGCAGGAGGCAUCACCAUACCAGACCUUGAACUGUACUAAGAGUUACAGUAACAAAACGUUAAAGUAUUGUCAUCAAGAUAGAUACGUAGAACAAUAGGACAGAAAACACAAUGGCAAACUCAGACAAAUACAGUUAUCUCAUACUAGACAAAGGUGCCCAAAACAUACAUUGGUGAAAAUAUGGUGCUGGGAAAUUCAUAUAUAGUCUUAAUGCCUUUGUGAGUCAGGCAGGCCUAGGGUAAAGGCUGUCAUGAGGCUUUGCUUUAACCUCUCAAAAGUUGCUUGAAAAUAUGGUGUAGAAGUCAAAUAUUUGAUUUCUAUUCUUUUUAGGGCUUAAUGCGAAUAUGUAUCUAUUACUAAAAUUAGGAACCCAAAUAUGGCAGAGCCAUAACAAUCUCUGGCACAAUAUAACUGUCUCUGAUCCUGACGUCUUAAUAUAGCCUACUUUCAAUGUGACAUAUAAACUCAAGUUCAUUGGAUAACCUGACUUUUUUACAAAUUGGGAUUUUGGUGGAUGCCUCAUUUUCACAUGAAGAGGGCGGUUUAGAACAGCAGAAGUAUUUCAGAGGUGCUGUUCUUGAUUGCAGAUGGCUCUAAGCAGGUCAUUCACAUGUUGUGGGACGUUACAGGUUAAAUCACAAGGUGAGUCUUGAAACAAGACAUGAGACAUUAUUCACCAGCAGGCCAGAAGGGCAGCAAGCAAGUGACCCCUGUAAACUUAGAACUCUUGCAUAAGGCAGGGUGCAUCCUUACAGCAAAAAUGUGCAAGCCAUGAGUAAGUCAAAACCAUAGCAACAUAAGAAGUUGGUUAAAAUGACAAGUAGAGUCAGGGUACAUUGCCAAAAAGAUAAGGUGGGGGGAACCAAAAAAGAAAACAAUUUUACAUUGUACAAGAAUAACAGAAACAUUUCCCCAAGCUGUGUGGUUCUAAGCAGGCUGUGUUAAGCAGAAUCAGGAUUGCAGAGAGUUUUGUCACAGGAGAAUAAUUUUGUACAUAAAAUGGAAUUUCAGGCUAACAGAAAGUUUGGUCAAGCCACAUAUAACCUGGACCAAGGCAUUUCCCCCUUUUCUAGAAACAAUUAAAUGUUUGAUUCACUUUCCAGGUGAGGUAUGGGGUUGUGAUGGCCAUUCCUAUACAUUAACUUUACUGAAGAAAUGCACUGUUUAAUGAACUUAAAAGGGCAUUUUAAAAUGCAGGUGCCUAAUGUAUAAUCCUAUAAACAUCAGGGCUAUGGGUUCAACCAGGUCAGUGAGAAGGGUAGUUAGCCAGGCAUUCUAGUUAAACUGUCUCUGGAAUAUAGACUCAUUUUGUUCUCAUUCUCAAUUUCAUCUUGAAUAUUUUACCUUGGCUAGGGAGCUUUGAGGAUACCACACUUAUUCAUAUAAAAACAGCAGGCCUCUUUCAGGGCUGCACAGAGUCCCCCUUGGGACAUGAACAGAGGUCUAAACCUCACCUGUUUUUGAAGAAUCACUUCAGUCAGAGAUUGAACCUGGUCAUAAAGGUGGUUAAUAGCUUGUUCUAAAUGAUCUAGGUCUUCCUUACUUCUUGAGUCAGGACAGAAAGGCAUAGUUCACCUUCUAUUAAGGCCACAAUUCCCACCACAGUUGAUCCUGCCACAGCUCACCCUAAGAGGGCUGGAAUAAGAAUGCAGACUGCUCUUUUGACCUAGAAAACAUCUCUAGUUAAAAGGAGGUGAGUGCCUUCUGGCCCACUGUAGGCAUAAACCUGGGGCAAUACCUGUCCCAUAAUGCAGAUAAUUGGCUGGGGAGAUGUAGUGGGCCAGUCUGAGGUCACAAGCAAACUAUGCUUGACUGGGAACAAAAUAGGACACAGUGGGUCUUCCAGUAACAGUAUAAGAACAGAUGUCAGUGGGAAAAUCAGAUGGCUCCAUUG
This 6424-nucleotide long non-coding RNA is filed under the name Marmota monax (woodchuck). The record is from RNAcentral. Lineage: Eukaryota; Metazoa; Chordata; Mammalia; Rodentia; Sciuridae.